Hemiscyllium ocellatum (epaulette shark) is the source of this 2491-nucleotide RNA transcript. It is a transcript of the gene named serine/threonine-protein kinase 35-like, with no coding region annotated. The transcript has 3 exons. NCBI's taxonomy places the organism in Eukaryota, Metazoa, Chordata, Chondrichthyes, Orectolobiformes, Hemiscylliidae. The record is from RefSeq and is a predicted model, not a curated record.
UACAAAGUGUAUAGCCUGCCACAGACAUCGCAUGACAACAGCCAGCAGUUUGCGUGGACCUCUGUAAGCGACAGUGCAUGCACCGGCAUGACAAGACGCUGAGCCGAGCCGCAGCUGGAAGAGCGCACGCGUUCGGUCAGGGGCACGUGAGCACGAGGCCGGCCGUGGACUGGCCGAAAGGAGCCGCGCGUGGGGGCGAAAGAGAGUGGAGAGGCCCCGAACUCCCGGCAAUGACUGAGUGCGCGAGCCGGCGUAGGGCCGCCGUAACCGGGAGCGUCGGCGACGCGCUGUGAUCGCGUGGGAGACGGCAGGCUGGAUGUUACCACCAGCAGCAGCAGCAGGAGGAGGAGGUGAGGAGGCAGGCAGUGAGUGAGUGCCCGGUCCCGGUCCCUCUCCCCUCCCCUCUCUUCCCCCCCCCCCACCUCCUCCUCCCUCCCCUCCCCUUCUCCCGGGAGGGGGGCCGGGAGCUGCGGCUGCGCUGGAGCUGGAGCUCGAGCGGAGUGAAGCGGGGCCCCGAGGCCGAGGCCCGGAGAGGGAGGAGGAGGAGGGCCGGAGAGCCAGGCCCCGGCCUCGGUCGCUCAGUGAUGUGGAGUGCGAGCCAUGGAGACUCGCGAGCUGCCCAGAGAAGGCGCCGCCGACUGUGAGGAGCGCCCGGCGCUGAGCGGCACCGGCCCCGGCCACAGCCCGAGGCUGCCGGGCCUGCUGUGGGAGCCCAAGUACAGCCUGGUGCAGGAGGUGGGCCGCGGCAGUUACGGCGUGGUGUACGAGGCGGUGGUGAGGAAGAGCGGAGCCCGGGUGGCCAUCAAGAAGAUCCGCUGCGACGCCCCGGAGAACGUGGAGCUGGCCCUGUCCGAGUUCUGGGCUCUGACCAGCCUCAAGCGGCAGCAUGAGAAUGUGAUCCAGUUUGAGGAGUGUGUGCUGCAGCGCAACGGCAUGGCCCAGAAGAUGAGCCACGGCAACAAGCGCUCCGAGUUCUACCUGCGCCUGGUGGAGACCUCACUGAAGGGCGAGCGGAUCCUGGGCGCCGGCGAGCCCUGCUACCUCUGGUUCGUCAUGGAGUUCUGCAACGGCGGCGACCUGAACCAGUACGUGCUGUCCCGGAGGCCCGACUCGGCCGUCAACACCAGCUUCAUGCUGCAGCUGACCAGCGCCAUCGCCUUCCUGCACAAGAACCACAUCGUCCACCGCGACCUGAAACCCGACAACAUCCUCAUCUCCGAGAAGUCGGGAGUCCCCAUUCUCAAAGUGGCCGAUUUCGGCCUCAGCAAAGUUUGCGUGGUGGGCGGAGGAGCAGCCACCAACAAAAACGUGAAUGUGAACAAGUGCUGGUUGUCCUCCGCCUGCGGCUCUGACUUUUACAUGGCUCCAGAGGUCUGGGAAGGACACUACACGGCCAAGGCUGACAUUUUCGCUUUGGGGAUCAUCAUAUGGGCCAUGAUAGAGCGAAUAACUUUCAUUGAUGCUGAGACUAAGAAAGAAUUGCUUGGGACCUAUGUUAGACAGGGCAGUGAGAUUGUACCUGUAGGGGAAGCAUUGCUAGAAAACCCAAAGAUGGAACUACACAUCCCGCAGAAAAGGAGAACUUUCAUGUCUGAAGGGAUCAGACAGCUUAUUAAAGACAUGUUGGCUGCUAAUCCACAGGAUCGUCCCGACGCAUUUGAGUUAGAAACUAGGAUGGACCAGGUCACUUGUGCUGCGUAAAUUAUCUAUUAUAAAGGGGAUACUCUUGUAAAAGAUAUGAAAAGAAAGUUUGGGAAUAUUGAUGAUCCAUCAGAUUGCUGUGGUGAGGAGAAUAUCAUUAUCCAGAACAAAAAUGUACACAAACAAAACAGUUGUUGAAUGCUGGACAAGUUUAGAACACGAGUUUGCUGUCAAGAAUGGAAAAUUAAAUUGAACAGCUUCCUUAGAAUGAACAGAAAUUGAAGUCUUUUUGCUGCAUUUAGAGCUUCAGCACUAGCUGAUAUCAGGACAAGGAAAGCUAUGCAAUUAAAUUGCUAAGAUUUUAUUUUUUGGGGUGGGAGGGAGUGUUUGCCAUGCAAUAAACUUGUAUUUACACUAUUUGGUUGUAUCUUCACUUUAUCUGAUUAAAUGCUGUGUCCUUGAAGAUUUAAUUGGGUGGAUUGAAUUCUUAAAGCUGAAUGACCCUAUGUUGAUUAACUUUUGUUUUAUUAUAAGCAUUAGCUGUUAUUGGCAAGAAUUUGAGCAGCUGCACUUAUUAUAUACCAGUAUGAUUUGUUUUAAAAUAAUCAGCAUGAGUGACCAGAGUGCCUUAUUAUUUUGUCAGAUUAGUUGAUGCUAUACUGAAUCCAAGGAACUUUAAAUGUCAAAAUGUGUUAAUUUUUUUGAUUAUGUACUGGAGAGCCAGUUUCUUUAAUAUGGCCUGGAUGAAGUCUUCUGGCAGGCUGAAAACUGUGGGUUAGUUCAACUUUAAAAUCAGGAGUUUCAUUGAAAUAACUUGUUGAAUAAAGAGCUUGGCCAUUUGGAAACUGAA